This is a long non-coding RNA of Heterocephalus glaber (naked mole-rat), 676 nucleotides long. Lineage: Eukaryota; Metazoa; Chordata; Mammalia; Rodentia; Bathyergidae. The record is from Ensembl.
GAAUGAAAAGAAUGGGCAGCCUGGUGGCUACUCAGAUGAGCACAUGAACACAGGUCAAGAAGCAUCUCUGCUAUAAACUCUGUGUGUGCAUGAAGGCUAAUAGUUCAAGUCCAAGGGAAACUGUUUUCCAUAUUGUUUGGAGUUUCAACAUUCAUUUCUUCCCAAUUGCACAAAUGCAUCAAGCCCAGAGAAACUUGGCUUUUAGAUCUACAUGGUUGCUUGCAGAAUUGUGUGGCUCACAAGUCCAGCAUUUUUCUUGCUUAUCCAGGCACUAAGAAUGCAAAUAUUAACCCAGUUUCUUCCAUUGAAAAAACACUUUCCCCUUUUCUCUGAGAAUUGGGAUUUAAGCACAUUAACAGCAAUUAGUACUAGAGCCAAGAAUUCAGAUUUUGAAUAAAACUACAGUUGACAUUUGCUCCUGGAUGAGAGAGUGAAAAAUGGUCCAUAAAGUUUCUAUUAACUUCAAAAGCAGCAACAUCUGCUCCAAUCCACAAAGCUUCAGGGUCUACCAUAGAGGAAGAGAGUGCUGUCCGCAAGCUGAGAACUCAGCCAGCUGUCCAGGCCUCAGUCCUCACAGCCCAUCCUCAACGCAAUGAAGGAGAGCGUCACUUCCAGCAAACUCGGAGCAGUCCUAUAAAGCAAGACGUGAGCCCAGUAUUGAGUGUGGACUGCUGAG